AUCAUAUAAUUAAGCAGAGGAAUAAACUGAAUAGGAUUCUUUGAGUAAUGGCGAAUGAACCAGGAACAGCUCAACUUGCAAACCUGAAUCAUUGAUUCGGGAUUGUGCCUUCGGGGAAUGUUGCCAAUGGCAAUGCACAUGUUCAUCUUUUGGGACAAGGUUGCAAUGAAGGUGGAACCCCUGGCCUGCGUGUGCAAUUUUCAUGUGAGGCAUGUUUCUCAGAGUCGCUUUCCUUGGACAUGUAGUGUUAAGUGGGUGGUAUACUGCAUCCAAAAUUAAAUGUGUGUUUGAGAUUGAUAGCUGACAAGUACCGUGCGGGAAAUGUGAAAAGAACUUUGAGAAGAAGGUUACAAGUACCUGAAGCAGCUGAAAUGUAAUUAGAUGAUGGGUGUCUGCUGCGUGUGAUUGCUGUGCUCGCAUGGCUUGCAUGAGCUGUGCUCUCGCGUGGGUGCUGCUCAGCUUGUCGGGGGCCAGUGUGCCGCGCGUAGCAACAAGGGGCCAAUGGGGUUGACCGCCAUAUGUGUCUUUGCAGCUGUUUUUUGCAAAUGUGUGUGCGCAUUUCUGACAACCAUAUUGGCCAGCAUUGCUUAGCUGUGGUUUUGUUUGGCUUACUGAACAGACUGAAUUAUGCUAAGUGCAUCCCUUGCAAAACCUCAUCAUGUGCCCCGUCUUGAAACACGGACCAAGGAGUUUAGUGCAUGUGCAAGCUCAUGGGAUGUGGCUGCUGGUGAAAUGAAGGUGAUGCUUGAUAUGUGUACAUCAACAACCAAAUGCUGAUUUGUGUGAAUUUUGAGUAUGAGCAUUUGCAGUAGGACCCGAAAGAUGGUGAACUAUACCUGUGAAAAAACAAUCCAGGGGAAACUCUGGUGGAGGCUUGCAAUGAUACUGACGUGCAAAUCGU
This 901-nucleotide ribosomal RNA is filed under the name Spiniferites bentorii. RNAcentral's name for it is "Spiniferites bentori partial large subunit ribosomal RNA". It matches the Rfam family "Eukaryotic large subunit ribosomal RNA", at positions 37 to 901 of the family's 3401-position model. Lineage: Eukaryota; Dinophyceae; Gonyaulacales; Gonyaulacaceae. The record is from RNAcentral.